Molecule: ribosomal RNA, 484 nt
Filed under: uncultured bacterium
Lineage: Bacteria
Description: partial 16S ribosomal RNA
Rfam family: Bacterial small subunit ribosomal RNA
Source: RNAcentral
AUUGAACGCUGGCGGCAGGCCUAACACAUGCGAGUCGAGCGGAUGAAGGGAGCUUGCUCCUCGAUUCAGCGGCGGACGGGUGAGUAAUGCCUAGGAAUCUGCCUGGUAGUGGGGGAUAACGUCCGGAAACGGGCGCUAAUACCGCAUACGUCCUGAGGGAGAAAGUGGGGGAUCUUCGGACCUCACGCUAUCAGAUGAGCCUAGGUCGGAUUAGCUAGUUGGUGGGGUAAAGGCCUACCAAGGCGACGAUCCGUAACUGGUCUGAGAGGAUGAUCAGUCACACUGGAACUGAGACACGGUCCAGACUCCUACGGGAGGCAGCAGUGGGGAAUAUUGGACAAUGGGCGAAAGCCUGAUCCAGCCAUGCCGCGUGUGUGAAGAAGGUCUUCGGAUUGUAAAGCACUUUAAGUUGGGAGGAAGGGCAGUAAGUUAAUACCUUGCUGUUUUGACGUUACCAACAGAAUAAGCACCGGCUAACUUCGUG